UCAUGGGCGCGAGCCUGAACCAGCCAAGUAGCGUGAAGGAUGACUGCCCUAUGGGUNGUAAACUUCUUUUAUANNGGAAUAAAGUCNGNNAUGUNUNCCCGUUUGCAUGUACNUUAUGAAUAAGGAUCGGCUAACUCCGUGCCAGCAGCCGCGGUAAUACGGAGGAUCCGAGCGUUAUCCGGAUUUAUUGGGUUUAAAGGGAGCGUAGGUGGACNGUUAAGUCAGUUGUGAAAGUUUGCGGCUCAACCGUAAAAUUGCAGUUGAUACUGGAUAUCUUGAGUGCAGUUGAGGCNGGCGGAAUUCGUGGUGUAGCGGUGAAAUGCUUAGAUAUCACGAAGAACUCCGAUUGCGAAGGCAGCCNGCUAAACUGCNACUGACAUUGANGCUCGAAAGUGUGGGUAUCAAACAGGAUUAGAUACCCUGGUAGUCCAAGGGCGAAUUC
RNAcentral lists this ribosomal RNA (442 nucleotides) under uncultured bacterium. RNAcentral's name for it is "partial small subunit ribosomal RNA". It matches the Rfam family "Bacterial small subunit ribosomal RNA", at positions 369 to 808 of the family's 1533-position model. The record is from RNAcentral.